AAAAUUGCUAGUUGCAGAAGGCGCUGCUUCCUCGGUAUCUGGCACACCAAACGACAUGUGCCCUGAGCUCCUUGCCGGCAUACCCUAUGGCUAUAAAUCUGAUAUAUGGUCGCUUGGAUACUGUAUGUUUGACAUUGCUGCACAUCAACCCUCGUUUAAAGCAUCUGUGAGUUGAUUUUUCAGC
Long non-coding RNA from Capsicum annuum, 184 nucleotides. RefSeq lists it as uncharacterized. Lineage: Eukaryota; Viridiplantae; Streptophyta; Magnoliopsida; Solanales; Solanaceae. The record is from RefSeq and is a predicted model, not a curated record. The transcript is spliced from 3 exons.